AUCUUUUCAACUUCUAUCCCUAUGCAUCUUCUCUCGUGACUCUUAACCUUCUCAGUAUCUCUCAUACGAAAGUUUGUUUUUCUCCCUGGAAGCUUUUUUCUUUCUUUCCCUUCAACUAUGUUCUUCCUUAUUCUCUCUGCUAAACGCCGCAAGAUCUGCGGAUUACUUGACUCUUCUAUUUAAUGUAAUUCAUCUCAACAAACUUGGCUAAUUAAUAUGUGAAAAAUUAUUG
RNAcentral lists this long non-coding RNA (232 nucleotides) under Trifolium pratense (red clover). Its description in RNAcentral is "long non-coding RNA (TPRA_LNC003107)". Lineage: Eukaryota; Viridiplantae; Streptophyta; Magnoliopsida; Fabales; Fabaceae. The record is from RNAcentral.